UAUGCACAUAGUUUGUUUUCUCUUGUGUUGAAUGUUGGCUUAAAAGUGUCCUGGACUCUGGUGUCAGCUCUGGACUGGCAGCUUGCAUUGCCCGCCCACCUGAAUCCCCAGGCUGCUGGUCAUGGAAAAGCUUCUGGGUCUCUCAUGUCAGACUCUCGGCUGACCACAAAUGAUCUGCACAUUGUCCCCUACCUGGAAGACAUGUCUGAGAGAGAAGAUCAAAACCCCACCUCUACUUCUGAAAGAAACCAGCCAGCGUUCACCUGGCAGGAAGUGGGAUCAGGGAUCUGCAUGGGCUUCCCCCUGCAGCAGACGGAGGCUGCCCUUGCCUGCCCGUUGCCCACUAAGCUAUUUUGGCCCUGGAAGGGGGCCCAUUCCUCCUCCAUCAGAUACUCUCUUGGCAGAGCUGACAGUCAAGGUGGUUCGAGUUUCUACAGUCAAGGGGCAGGCAUCUGAUCCAAGGUAGGAAGCUUGUGUUCUUCCUUGAGGAACCCAGCACUGGCUUUGCCCGACAGCAGCACCCUCAUAGAACCCUUUGGUUCCAGCCACCCCAACCCGCACGGCUGCAUGAGGGCUGUCCUUUCUGAGCCUAGCCCUGCUACCCUCCCUCUGAGAAGUGAAGUCGGCUAGGCUUCUGGGUCGGGUGGGGACUUGGAGAACUUUUGUGUCUAACUAAAGGAUUGUAAACAGACCAAUCAGCGCUCUGUGUCUAGCUAAAGGUUUGUAAACGCACCAAUCAGCACUCUGUCAAAACGGACCAAUCAGCACUCUGUAAAAUGGACCAAUCAGCACUCUGUAAAAUGGACCAAUCAGCAGGAUGGGGGGGCGGGGCAAAUAAUGGAAUAAAAGCUGGCCACCCCCUGCGGCAGCGGCAACCCGCUUGAGUCCUGUUCCACGCUGUGGAAACUUUGUUUUUUUUUCUUUGCAAUAAAUCUUGCCACUGGCUCACGGUUUGGGUGAGGCACUGCAUUUAUGAGCUAUGACACUCACUGGAAAGGUCUGCAGGUUCACUCCUGAAGUCAGUGAGACCACAAACCCACCGGGAGGAACGAACAAUCUUGGACGCGCCGCCUUUAAGAGCUGUAAGACUCACUGCGAAGGUCUGCGGCUUCACUUCUGAAGUCAGGAAGACCACGAACCCACCAGAAGGAAGAAACUCUGGACACAUCUUAACAUCUGAAGGAACAAACUCUGGACACACCGUCUUUAAGAAUUGUAACACUUGCUGUGAGAGUCUGCAGCUUCAUUCUUGAAGUCAGGGAGACCAAGAACCCACCAGAAGGAACCAGUUCCGGACGCACUUCCAGCCAGAUGAGUGGCUCUGCAGACUUCCAAAGGAGCCGCUUUCUGUGCAAGUUGGACCAAGUCUGUUUCUCCUGUCCAUGAGGAUAAGGGUCCUGGAUAUCCUAGGUCGCCUGGUGGAGGGGCCCUCGGGAAUCCAACGAUCACCACUGCAAGUCAGCCUCAGCACCAGCACUCAGAUGCAGGGGUGGCUGGCCUCAGGCUUCCUCAGCCCAGGUGCAUGGCCUCUCGCUCAGCUCUUUGUGGCUCAGUCAUUCAUCACUCUGAUCAAACUCAUCUUGACAAAGGACAAAGCAAUACCUUCGAUCCUGCUUUUUAGCAGCCAUCCUGGCAGCCUGUGACUGCUCAGCCUCCCAAAGGCAGGACCAGGUCCAGGACCCACCCGAAUUCCUGGACAGAGCUCGACUGUCAGCUUGAGGCUUCCUGGGCUGGGCCAAAUGCAAAGAAACCCAGGGGUCCUCUGCAUCCUGAGCCUGGCGCCAACCUGCAGUAGCAACAUGAGUGAGGCCCAGGAGCCUGCCAGGACUGGGUUUACGCCCCAGAGCCGCCACUCACUACUCAUCAGCUGGACAAAGAGCUUCUCUGAGUUUCAGUUUCCAGAUCUGCAAAAUAGGUGUAACAAUCCCUGUGUCUGAGCAUCUGCAGGGAGAUCAAAUUCUCGUCUCUGGAACAUGACAGCUUCCAAAUCUGAGCCAUCCUGUCACUUCUCUUGGGUCAAUUGGGGUUUCCACGAUGUCACCCCAUCAGACUGUCACUAACAUGGCCUGAGAGCCCUGGGCUCGGGGACUGCCAGCAUGGUAGGUUUCCCUCCCCGUACUCCUGCCGUUACUUCCCUGAUGAGACCAUCCCCCAGAGAAGGGAAAGGAGGGCAGUUUCGUUCAUUUAGUGCAGAGCCUGGGAGGUGGGAGGAGCCUGGGCUAGCUUCAUUUUUUUGAGGUUCUUGGUAUGCUACAGAUGAGAAGGUUGCAGUGAUUGUGGUAUAAUUUCAGUGUUCUCACAACAAAUUAGAACACAGCAUACUUGUGGUGUUGACAGGACAACUGCAGAACUCAGUACAUUUCCUGGGGAGUUCUGAGUGGUGCAGUCUUAGGGCAGGAUACAAGCUUUGGGUCUCAGGAUGGCUGUCCACUUCUGCUGGAUCUGGGGUGCACCCUUACAGUCUGAAUUUCUAGAAAAAGGCAUAAUCAAACCCCCUGCAGAACUUUCACGGGAUCCCAUUCAAAUAAAACAGGGUGGAGGGACACGUUGAGAUGUUUGGAAAUAUCUGAAUAAGGGUGGGAUAUGGGGUUAUUUUAGGGAAUUCAUUGUUCAUAGGGAAUUCACUGUUCAUUGUCCCAGCCGUGAUAGCAUGGAAGAACAGCCCAAAGGGUCAUAAGAUAGUUCAGGAAAGAGCUUUACAAGUCAAAGUGACAGAGCAGCAGGUCCCCAACACUUUUGACACCAGGGACCAGGUUUAGUGGAAGACAAUUUCUCCAUGGACUGGAAUCAGGCUGGGGGUGGUUUUGAGAUGAUUCAAGCACAUUACAUUUAUUGUGCACUUUAAUUCUAUUAUUAUUAACUUGUAAUAUAUAAUGAAAUAUUAUACAACUCACCAUAAUGUAGAUCAGUGGGAGCCCUGAGCUUGUUUUCCUGCAACUAGACAGUCCCAUCUGGAGGUGAUGGAAGACAGUGACAGAUCAUCAGGCAUUAGAUUCUCAUAAGGAGCACGGAACCUAGAUCCCUCGCACACACAGUUCACGGUACGGCUCACGCUCCUAUGAGAAUUCAGUGCUGCUGCUGAUGUGACAGGAGGUGGAGCUUAGGUGGUAACGUGAGCAAUGGGGAGCAGCUGUAAAUACAGAUGAGGCUUCACUCGCUCACCAGCCUGCUCCGUGAGGUUGGGGACCCGUCAGAUACAGCAUUUAUGACCACAUGAUAACCACAGCUGAAUCCAGGUGGUGGGAUACACAGCUGCUUCAUUGUACCAAUCUCAACUUUUUCAUGUAUUUGAAAUUUUUCAUUAGAAGAGAGUAAAUUUUUUGGAUUGCUACUGC
Molecule: long non-coding RNA, 3335 nt
Filed under: Homo sapiens (human)
Lineage: Eukaryota; Metazoa; Chordata; Mammalia; Primates; Hominidae
Description: HSALNT0331391
Source: RNAcentral